GUACGCAACUUGGACAACCUACGCUCUCUGAAUGCGGCCUCUGCAUGUUCCAUCUCAUUCUCAGUCGGACUUUGGAACUGCCGAUUGCUGUCAACAAGGCAGAUUUCAUUUCUGCAUUUGCAACCCACUCCAACCUCAGUGUGCUGGCUCUGACUGAGACCUGGAUCCAUGCUGAGAACACUACCACACCUGCUGCCCUGGCCUCCAACUUCAACUUCUCCCAUACCUCACGUCACAACAGACGAGGGGGUGGUACAGGUUUGCUUCUCUCCAAAACAUGGAAAUUUACCUGUCUUUCUCCCUCUUGCUCAUACACUUCCUUUGAAUUUCAUGCUGUUACAGUCACUGACCCUUCCAAAAUAAACUUUCUUGUUGUUUACCGUCCUCCAGGUGAACUGGGGAAGUUCAUCGAUGAAUUUGGCACGCUACUGUCCACCAUCCUAGAUGAUGGAACUCCGCUUCUGGUCCUUGGUUAUUUCAACAUUCAUCUAGACAAGCCACAUGCAGCUGACUUUCUUGCUCUCCUUUCCACAUUCGACCUCAAGCAGUUCACCACACCAGCAACCCACAAAGCCGGCAAACAGCUCAUCCUCACAAAACAACCUCCUGGACACCAAGCAGUCUGGCUUUAAGAGCAACCACUCCAUGGAGACUGCUCUGUUUUCCGUCACUGAAGCCUUACGACUAGCAAGAGCAAUCUCUAGAUCAUCUGUCCUCAUCCUACUUGACCUCUCUGCUGCUUUCGACACUGUGAAUCAUCAGAUACUCCUGACAACUCUCUCCAGACUGGGCAUCACUGAAACGGAUCUGCGCUGGGUAGAAUCCCAUCUCUAUGACAGAUCCUUCAAGGUAUCAUGGAGGGGAGGUAUUUCUGAAACUCAGCAAC
Molecule: long non-coding RNA, 886 nt
Organism: Ictalurus punctatus (channel catfish)
Lineage: Eukaryota; Metazoa; Chordata; Actinopteri; Siluriformes; Ictaluridae
Source: Ensembl